AGGCAACCGGAGCCCGGGUCGCCGAGGGAGCGGGGCGCGCGGAGCGGGUGGGAGUGGGAAACCCGCGGCGCAGCCAGAAAGUUAAAAACUAUUAAUACAUAUGUGGCUUGGUUCACACCAUCUUUCUCUCGGGUCAGCAGUCUGAAGUGUGAGUUCUUGAUGUGCUUUUGGCCAAAGAAUAACCAGAUACACCAAAAGUAAGAGUUACAAGACUUCUUUAUAUAUGCUGGAUAAAGUCCCAAAUCAGAGAUAAUUUGGGCCUGUUGAGAGGAGAUGUAAAAUUGGACAAAGUUAACCCAGGACAGCGUGAAUGUGUUUACAUAAAUCCAGAUAUGCAUUGUAGAUCGUCAGAUGGUCUGAAUCUGCCAUGGCCAAAGCUGACUUUGCAAGAUCUGCUUCAUCUUUUCGACCAAUUGGUGUGGUAAAAGGAGACUUCUCUGUCAUAACUGCGGCUAGUGUUGCCUAUCCAUAAAUAAGCGAACAAUUUGUCACUGAAGAGGUUAUCACAUAAACCAUCAUGAAAGAGAUUAUUUUUUGAACUUGGGCCCAAUUCUGAAAGAAAUGAAGGACAAAACUCAUCUGCACCUCCCCCUGGGAUUACCAUAAUAUGAAGACAUAAUUCCUCCAAAGGAAAUGGAACCCAGAUUAUUAUUAAGAGCUGCAUGGGACCUACGUGAUCAUUCUACAUCAGUAGCGUUCAAAUUUUAUUGUUAAGGGAUGGAACUCUUCUUUAAAUCAAAUCUUACAGGGAAGCACAAAUGUUACAGAUAAGAGCACAGCCUCAAAAACUCUGGAGUUCUUACAGCACAAUUAGAAAGCCAUCAGUUGUAUCCAAUCCCUUUUAAAGAAAUUUCUGACAAUACUCUGAGUCUUUCUCCAGCACAAAGCCUGUUUCUUCUAUUAUAUCUUCAAGAUGAAAAACCUG
Lemur catta (Ring-tailed lemur) is the source of this 925-nucleotide long non-coding RNA. RefSeq lists it as uncharacterized. The record is from RefSeq and is a predicted model, not a curated record. The transcript is spliced from 9 exons. Lineage: Eukaryota; Metazoa; Chordata; Mammalia; Primates; Lemuridae.